ACUCCUACGGGAGGCAGCAGUAGGGAAUCUUCCACAAUGGACGAAAGUCUGAUGGAGCAACGCCGCGUGAGUGAAGAAGGGUUUCGGCUCGUAAAACUCUGUUGUUAAAGAAGAACAUAUCUGAGAGUAACUGUUCAGGUAUUGACGGUAUUUAACCAGAAAGCCACGGCUAACUACGUGCCAGCAGCCGCGGUAAUACGUAGGUGGCAAGCGUUGUCCGGAUUUAUUGGGCGUAAAGCGAGCGCAGGCGGUUUUUAAGUCUGAUGUGAAAGCCUUCGGCUCAACCGAAGAAGUGCAUCGGAAACUGGGAAACUUGAGUGCAGAAGAGGACAGUGGAACUCCAUGUGUAGCGGUGAAAUGCGUAGAUAUAUGGAAGAACACCAGUGGCGAAGGCGGCUACCUGGUCUGCAACUGACGCUGAGACUCGAAAGCAUGGGUAGCGAACAGGAUUAGAUACCCUGGUAGGAUAGCG
This 472-nucleotide ribosomal RNA is filed under the name uncultured bacterium. RNAcentral describes it as "bacterial SSU rRNA". It matches the Rfam family "Bacterial small subunit ribosomal RNA", at positions 335 to 801 of the family's 1533-position model. The record is from RNAcentral.